RNAcentral lists this long non-coding RNA (246 nucleotides) under Vigna radiata. RNAcentral's name for it is "long non-coding RNA (VRAD_LNC016671)". Lineage: Eukaryota; Viridiplantae; Streptophyta; Magnoliopsida; Fabales; Fabaceae. The record is from RNAcentral.
CUAGGGAUAGCAAUCCAGUAGUUAAUAUUAGGCUCUUUCCACCGAGGGAUCGGGUUAAUGGUAGGCUAAGAAAGUUGCAUGACAAUUAAUUAAUCAAACUAAUAAGUCAAGAGGAGUACAUAAGAGAGGGCGAAUUAGAUGAAAUUGUAAACCCCUGAUGGGUGUCGUCGCCCAAUCAAAUUUGAUUGCAUAAUAAGAAAUGCAGUAUAGCUAGGGAGUGACCCCUAGGUCGUCUCUCAAGGACCA